UGCUCCAGGGUCAUGAAGCCUGAGUAACCUCUGACUCACCUCAGGCUCGGCAGGCUCCCUGCUGGCCAUGGGGCCAUUUCUGCUGCUGCAGCGCCCCCUGCUGGCCCAGACCACGUCUGCCUUGUGCCUGUCCCCUGGAGUUCGUUCCCCUCCCUCCAGAUCUGGCUCUCCAAGCCCUGCCCCUUCCGUGCCAUCCCUCAGGUUCUGCAGGGCACUGGCCACUUCUGCACAGCCAGGCCUUCCCACCCUACCCCCGAGAUUCACACAGCAGGGUCCACUCCCUCCCAGGCUUGGCUUCCCCAGGCUGAGGGCUGGGCAUUGGCACCCUUCCACAGACCACAUGAGUCAGCUCCCUCCCCACCCAACAAGGCCAGUGCUGGCUCUGUCUGAGGUCCCUUUGUUCAGGUCUCUUCUGAAGAAAGGCACCAGAGGCUCCAGCUCUGGCCAUAAUGCCCCAGAUGAAGCUUGACAGGAGAACUGGACACAACAGGCCAGGUUUCCCUAGGAUCACCAGCUGUCAUGGACUGAUUUGUGUCUCUCCAAAUUCAUAUGUUGAAUACUUAACCUGCCAUGCGAUUGUGAUUGGAGAUAAUUCCUUUAGGGAAGCAAUGAAGGUUAAAUGAGGUCAUAGGUGGGAGCUUAAUCCAAUGGGACUGGGGUCCCUACAAGAAGAGGAAGACACCAGAGCUCUCUGUCUCCACACACAGAGAAAAGAGGCUGUAUGAGGACACAAGAGAAGGUAAUAGCUGUCUACAAACCAAGAAGAGAAGCCUCUCCAGAAAAUGAACCCUGCUGGAACUUGGUCUUGGACUUUCCAGCCUCCAGAACUGGGAGAAAAUAAAGUUCAAAAUAAAGUUCUGUUGUGUAAGCCCCCGAGUCCAUGGUAUUUUGUUAUGGCAGCCCUAGCAGACUAAUAACACCUGCUAAUUAAACUGCUUGUUCUCCACUUGUUGUCUCAGGGUCUGUUCCUAGGGAACCUGGACUCAGACAGAUGCUCUGCUUAAUUAGAC
This 1010-nucleotide long non-coding RNA is filed under the name Homo sapiens (human). RNAcentral describes it as "LNC_000085". The record is from RNAcentral. Lineage: Eukaryota; Metazoa; Chordata; Mammalia; Primates; Hominidae.